CCUACGUGCGGCAGCAGUGAGGAAUAUUGGUCAAUGGGCGCGAGCCUGAACCAGCCAAGUAGCGUGAAGGAUGACUGCCCUACGGGUUGUAAACUUCUUUUAUAAAGGAGUAAAGUGAGGCACGUGUGCCUUUUUGUAUGUACUUUAUGAAUAAGGAUCGGCUAACUCCGUGCCAGCAGCCGCGGUAAUACGGAGGAUCCGAGCGUUAUCCGGAUUUAUUGGGUUUAAAGGGAGCGUAGAUGGGUUGUUAAGUCAGUUGUGAAAGUUUGCGGCUCAACCGUACAAUUGCAAUUGAUACUGGCAGUCUUGAGUACAGUUGAGGUAGGCGGAAUUCGUGGUGUAGCGGUGAAAUGCUUAGAUAUCACGAAGAACUCCGAUUGCGAAGGCAGCUUACUAAACUGCCACUGACAUUGAUGCUCGAAAGUGUGGGUAUCAAACAGGAUUAGAUACCCGGGUAGUA
Molecule: ribosomal RNA, 460 nt
Filed under: uncultured bacterium
Lineage: Bacteria
Description: partial 16S ribosomal RNA
Rfam family: Bacterial small subunit ribosomal RNA
Source: RNAcentral